CCGGCACGGGUGAGUAACACGUAUGCAAUCCACCUGUAACAGGGGGAUAACCCGGAGAAAUCCGGACUAAUACCCCAUAAUAUGGGCGCUCCGCAUGGAGAGCCCAUUAAAGAGAGCAAUUUUGGUUACAGACAAGCAUGCGCUCCAUUAGCCAGUUGGCGGGGUAACGGCCCACCAAAGCGACGAUGGAUAGGGGUUCUGAGAGGAAGGUCCCCCACAUUGGAACUGAGACACGGUCCAA
This 241-nucleotide ribosomal RNA is filed under the name uncultured bacterium. RNAcentral's name for it is "partial 16S ribosomal RNA". It matches the Rfam family "Bacterial small subunit ribosomal RNA", at positions 100 to 334 of the family's 1533-position model. The record is from RNAcentral.